This 253-nucleotide ribosomal RNA is filed under the name uncultured prokaryote. Its description in RNAcentral is "partial 16S ribosomal RNA". It matches the Rfam family "Bacterial small subunit ribosomal RNA", at positions 524 to 776 of the family's 1533-position model. The record is from RNAcentral.
UACAGAGGGUGCAAGCGUUAAUCGGAAUGACUGGGCGUAAAGCGUGUGUAGGUGGUUAGAUAAGUUAGAUGUGAAAUCCCCGGGCUUAACCUGGGAACUGCGUUUAAGACUGUCUAGCUAGAGUACUGUAGAGGAUAGUGGAAUUUCCAGUGUAGCGGUGAAAUGCGUAGAUAUCGGUAGGAACACCAGUGGCGAAGGCGGUUCCCUGGGGCACUCUUGACGCUGAUGCGCGAAAGCUGGGGGAGCGAACGGG